CCUACGGGAGGCAGCAGUGGGGAAUUUUCCGCAAUGGGCGAAAGCCUGACGGAGCAACGCCGCGUGAGGGAUGAAGGCCACUGGGCUGUAAACCUCUUUUAUCAAGGAAGAAGAUCUGACGGUACUUGAUGAAUAAGCCACGGCUAAUUCCGUGCCAGCAGCCGCGGUAAUACGGGAGUGGCAAGCGUUAUCCGGAAUUAUUGGGCGUAAAGCGUCCGCAGGCGGUCUUGUAAGUCUGUCGUUAAAGCGUGGAGCUCAACUCCAUUUCGGCGGUGGAAACUACAAGACUAGAGUGUGGUAGGGGCAGAGGGAAUUCCCGGUGUAGCGGUGAAAUGCGUAGAUAUCGGGAAGAACACCAGUGGCGAAGGCGCUCUGCUGGGCCAUAACUGACGCUCAUGGACGAAAGCUAGGGGAGCGAAAGGGAUUAGAUACCCCUGUAGUCCUAGCCGUAAACGAUGAACACUAGGUGUCGGGGGAAUCGACCCCCUCGGUGUCGUAGCUAACGCGUUAAGUGUUCCGCCUGGGGAGUACGCACGCAAGUGUGAAACUCAAAGGAAUUGACGG
RNAcentral lists this ribosomal RNA (564 nucleotides) under uncultured bacterium. RNAcentral describes it as "bacterial SSU rRNA". It matches the Rfam family "Bacterial small subunit ribosomal RNA", at positions 338 to 916 of the family's 1533-position model. The record is from RNAcentral.